UUUUUGCACCACGACAGUUGGGGACUCUGCUGGGGACUUUUCUCCUAAGUGAGUCCACUGUAGUUUAGUUUAUUUUGUGUUUGAGUGUUUGCUUUUAUCUAUUUGUUUGAUUAAUCUUUAUUUGCCUUUUAUAUUUUUAUUUCCAAUUGUUGUAUUAUUGUUAUAUGAUACCAUUGGAGCUUUCUAAUCAUUGGCAUUUGUGUG
RNAcentral lists this long non-coding RNA (204 nucleotides) under Lathyrus oleraceus (garden pea). Its description in RNAcentral is "Pisum sativum (pea) long non-coding RNA (PSAT_LNC013848)". The record is from RNAcentral. Lineage: Eukaryota; Viridiplantae; Streptophyta; Magnoliopsida; Fabales; Fabaceae.